RNAcentral lists this ribosomal RNA (465 nucleotides) under uncultured bacterium. RNAcentral describes it as "partial 16S ribosomal RNA". It matches the Rfam family "Bacterial small subunit ribosomal RNA", at positions 338 to 795 of the family's 1533-position model. The record is from RNAcentral.
CCUACGGGCGGCAGCAGUGGGGAAUAUUGCGCAAUGGGCGAAAGCCUGACGCAGCGACGCCGCGUGAGGGAUGAAGGUCUUCGGAUCGUAAACCUCUGUCAGCAGGGAAGAACGGUCACUGUGCUAAUCAGCAGUGACUUGACGGUACCUGCAAAGGAAGCACCGGCUAACUCCGUGCCAGCAGCCGCGGUAAUACGGAGGGUGCGAGCGUUAAUCGGAAUUACUGGGCGUAAAGCGCUCGUAGGCGGUAUGUCAAGUCAAGGGUGAAAUCCCCGCGCUCAACGGGGGAACUGCCUUUGAAACUGGCAAACUGGAGUGUGUGAGAGGAUAGUGGAAUUCCAGGUGUAGGAGUGAAAUCCGUAGAUAUCUGGAGGAACAUCAGUGGCGAAGGCGACUAUCUGGCACAUAACUGACGCUGAGGAGCGAAAGCGUGGGUAGCAAACAGGAUUAGAUACCCCAGUAGUC